UCGGGAAUUUUGGGCAAUGGGCGAAAGCCUGACCCAGCAACGCCGCGUGAGGGAUGAAGUAUUUCGGUAUGUAAACCUCGAAAGAAUGGGAAGAAUAAAUGACGGUACCAUUUAUAAGCUCCGGCUAACUACGAGCCAGCAGCCGCGGUAAUACGUAGGGAGCAAGCGUUGUUCGGAUUUACUGGGCGUAAAGGGCGCGUAGGCGGCGCGGUAAGUCACUUGUGAAAUCUCUGAGCUUAACUCAGAACGGCCAAGUGAUACUGCUGUGCUAGAGUGCGGAAGAGGCAACCGGAAUUCUUGGUGUAGCGGUGAAAUGCGUAGAUAUCAAGAGGAACACCUGAGGCGAAGGCGGGUUGCUGGGCCGACACUGACGCUGAUGCGCGAAAGCCAGGGGAGCAAACG
Molecule: ribosomal RNA, 402 nt
Filed under: uncultured bacterium
Lineage: Bacteria
Description: bacterial SSU rRNA
Rfam family: Bacterial small subunit ribosomal RNA
Source: RNAcentral